This 278-nucleotide unclassified non-coding RNA is filed under the name Hevea brasiliensis (rubber tree). Lineage: Eukaryota; Viridiplantae; Streptophyta; Magnoliopsida; Malpighiales; Euphorbiaceae. The record is from RNAcentral.
GAGAUAUCAGAGGUUGGUUGGGAAAUUGAUUUAUCUCUCACAUACUAGACCUGACAUAGCUUUUAUGGUAAGUCUAAUAAGCCAGUAUAUGCAUGAUCCUAGAGAACUCACUUAGAAAUUGUUUUCCGUAUUUUGAGAUAUUUGAAAUCUGCACCUGGAAAAUGACCUCUUUUUUUAAAGCAUGCCCAUCUCCAGAUAAAAGGCUUCACAGAUGCAGAUGAGGAUGGAUCUCUUGAUGGUAGGAGAUCUAAACAGGUUAUUGUACCUUUGUUGGUGGU